AUACGUAGGUGACAAGCGUUAUCCGGAUUUACUGGGCGUAAAGGGCGUGUAGGCGGUCUUGCAAGUCAGAAGUGAAAUUCCUGAGCUCAACUCGGGCGCUGCUUCUGAAACUGCAGGACUUGAGUGCUGGAGGGGAUAGCGGAAUUCCUAGUGGAGCGAUAAAAUGCGCAGAUAUUAGGAAGAACACCGGUGGCGAAGGCGGCUAUCUGGACUGUAACUGACGCUGAGGCGCGAAAGUGUGGGGAGCAAACAGGAUUAGAUACCCUGGUAGUCCACACUGUAAACGAUGAAUGCUAGGUGUAGGGGGUAUCGACCCCUUCUGUGCCGCAGUCAACACAAUAAGCAUUCCGCCUGGGGAGUACGGCCGCAAGGUUGAAACUCAAAGGAAUUGACGGGG
RNAcentral lists this ribosomal RNA (397 nucleotides) under uncultured bacterium. Its description in RNAcentral is "partial 16S ribosomal RNA". It matches the Rfam family "Bacterial small subunit ribosomal RNA", at positions 523 to 918 of the family's 1533-position model. The record is from RNAcentral.